AUGCAUCUCAAGAAAAUAAAGAAUCUUAGUCAAAACAGGAAACUAUUGCUUGUCCGAUUUGCAGUCCAAGUUAUACAUAGAACUGUAGAUUGUACCUUCGUCAGACCGCCGUCCUCACCCCAUCAUCGUGCACCCCCGCCUGUCUGCUCACGCAUUCACAUUGAGGAAGAUGAUGAGAACCUCGGCCACGCCGCCAUCCUCUCCCCGUCAUCAUCCCUUUGCAGCUUUUCCUGUCCCGACCGCUGGAGCUUCUCGCCGCAGGGCACAAGCACCUUGCAAUCGCGGUGUGCUUCUCCCCUAGUGCUGUCAUAUAGACAUCUUGCAAGUAAGUGA
This 333-nucleotide ribosomal RNA is filed under the name Triticum aestivum (bread wheat). Its description in RNAcentral is "partial small subunit ribosomal RNA". The record is from RNAcentral. Lineage: Eukaryota; Viridiplantae; Streptophyta; Magnoliopsida; Poales; Poaceae.